GAUGAACGCUGGCGGCGUGCCUAAUACAUGCAAGUCGAGCGAACAGACGAGGAGCUUGCUCCUCUGACGUUAGCGGCGGACGGGUGAGUAACACGUGGAUAACCUACCUAUAAGACUGGGAUAACUUCGGGAAACCGGAGCUAAUACCGGAUAAUAUAUUGAACCGCAUGGUUCAAUAGUGAAAGACGGUUUUGCUGUCACUUAUAGAUGGAUCCGCGCCGCAUUAGCUAGUUGGUAAGGUAACGGCUUACCAAGGAAACGAUGCGUAGCCGACCUGAGAGGGUGAUCGGCCACACAGGAACUGAGACACGGUCCAGACUCCUACGGGAGGCAGCAGUAGGGAAUCUUCCGCAAUGGGCGAAAGCCUGACGGAGCAACGCCGCGUGAGUGAUGAAGGUCUUCGGAUCGUAAAACUCUGUUAUUAGGGAAGAACAAAUGUGUAAGUAACUAUGCACGUCUUGACGGUACCUAAUCAGAAAGCCACGGCUAACUACGU
RNAcentral lists this ribosomal RNA (496 nucleotides) under uncultured bacterium. RNAcentral describes it as "partial 16S ribosomal RNA". It matches the Rfam family "Bacterial small subunit ribosomal RNA", at positions 28 to 506 of the family's 1533-position model. The record is from RNAcentral.